Molecule: RNase P RNA, 179 nt
Filed under: Clostridiales bacterium
Lineage: Bacteria; Bacillati; Bacillota; Clostridia; Eubacteriales
Description: partial RNase P RNA component class A
Rfam family: Bacterial RNase P class A
About the family: Ribonuclease P (RNase P) is a ubiquitous endoribonuclease, found in archaea, bacteria and eukarya as well as chloroplasts and mitochondria. Its best characterised activity is the generation of mature 5'-ends of tRNAs by cleaving the 5'-leader elements of precursor-tRNAs. Cellular RNase Ps are ribonucleoproteins.
Source: RNAcentral
UGAGGCAGCCAAAUGGUCGCGUGCCUGAAAGGCAUGAGGAAAGUCCGAGCACCUCAGAGCAAGGUGCCAGCUAACGGCUGGUGGAGGCGACUCCAAGGCGAGUGCAACAGAAAGAAACCGCCGGUAAUCCGGCAAGGGUGGAAAGGUGCGGUAAGAGCGCACCGGCGGCAUGGCGACUU